GAUUGAUGGUGCUUGCACCUGAUUGAUUUUGGUCGCCAACGAGUGGCGGACGGGUGAGUAACACGUAGGUAACCUGCCCAGAAGCGGGGGACAACAUUUGGAAACAGAUGCUAAUACCGCAUAACAGCGUUGUUCGCAUGAACAACGCUUAAAAGAUGGCUUCUCGCUAUCACUUCUGGAUGGACCUGCGGUGCAUUAGCUUGUUGGUGGGGUAACGGCCUACCAAGGCGAUGAUGCAUAGCCGAGUUGAGAGACUGAUCGGCCACAAUGGGACUGAGACACGGCCCAUACUCCUACGGGAGGCAGCAGUAGGGAAUCUUCCACAAUGGGCGCAAGCCUGAUGGAGCAACACCGCGUGAGUGAAGAAGGGUUUCGGCUCGUAAAGCUCUGUUGUUAAAGAAGAACACGUAUGAGAGUAACUGUUCAUACGUUGACGGUAUUUAACCAGAAAGUCACGGCUAACUACGUGCCAGCAGCCGCGGUAAUACGUAGGUGGCAAGCGUUAUCCGGAUUUAUUGGGCGUAAAGAGAGUGCAGGCGGUUUUCUAAGUCUGAUGUGAAAGCCUUCGGCUUAACCGGAGAAGUGCAUCGGAAACUGGAUAACUUGAGUGCAGAAGAGGGUAGUGGAACUCCAUGUGUAGCGGUGGAAUGCGUAGAUAUAUGGAAGAACACCAGUGGCGAAGGCGGCUACCUGGUCUGCAACUGACGCUGAGACUCGAAAGCAUGGGUAGCGAACAGGAUUAGAUACCCUGGUAGUCCAUGCCGUAAACGAUGAGUGCUAGGUGUUGGAGGGUUUCCGCCCUUCAGUGCCGGAGCUAACGCAUUAAGCACUCCGCCUGGGGAGUACGACCGCAAGGUUGAAACUCAAAGGAAUUGACGGGGGCCCGCACAAGCGGUGGAGCAUGUGGUUUAAUUCGAAGCUACGCGAAGAACCUUACCAGGUCUUGACAUCUUGCGCCAACCCUAGAGAUAGGGCGUUUCCUUCGGGAACGCAAUGACAGGUGGUGCAUGGUCGUCGUCAGCUCGUGUCGUGAGAUGUUGGGUUAAGUCCCGCAACGAGCGCAACCCUUGUUACUAGUUGCCAGCAUUAAGUUGGGCACUCUAGUGAGACUGCCGGUGACAAACCGGAGGAAGGUGGGGACGACGUCAGAUCAUCAUGCCCCUUAUGACCUGGGCUACACACGUGCUACAAUGGACGGUACAACGAGUCGCGAACUCGCGAGGGCAAGCAAAUCUCUUAAAACCGUUCUCAGUUCGGACUGCAGGCUGCAACUCGCCUGCACGAAGUCGGAAUCGCUAGUAAUCGCGGAUCAGCAUGCCGCGGUGAAUACGUUCCCGGGCCUUGUACACACCGCCCGUCACACCAUGAGAGUUUGUAACACCCAAAGUCGGUGGG
This 1395-nucleotide ribosomal RNA is filed under the name Limosilactobacillus fermentum. RNAcentral describes it as "bacterial SSU rRNA". It matches the Rfam family "Bacterial small subunit ribosomal RNA", at positions 65 to 1434 of the family's 1533-position model. The record is from RNAcentral. Lineage: Bacteria; Bacillati; Bacillota; Bacilli; Lactobacillales; Lactobacillaceae.